RNAcentral lists this transfer-messenger RNA (379 nucleotides) under Bacilli. RNAcentral's name for it is "UBA2730 sp900319955 Standard tmRNA". It matches the Rfam family "transfer-messenger RNA". Rfam says of the family: Bacterial tmRNA, also known as 10Sa RNA or SsrA, is named for its dual tRNA and mRNA-like properties. Lineage: Bacteria; Bacillati; Bacillota. RNAcentral also lists the same sequence under 1 other name. The record is from RNAcentral.
GGGGCUGUAAUGGUCUCGACAGAAAUAUUUUAGCAUGAAUAGCAGGCCGAGUAGUUUACGUUACAAACUACAAACAAAUAAACGCAAACAAAGUUAAAACUGCACUUAACAACAUCUUUGGUCGUAACCAAGCUGUUGCUUUUGCCUAAGAAUAGGCUUGUGCAAUCUUCUCACUCUUUAUUUACCGAGAGUGUUAAGGUUUAAACGAGGUAAAUUAAGCUUUAUAUUUGUCUAGAUAUAAAGACGAAAACUUGAGACUAGUAUAUUACUUAGUUCGUUAACUAAUAUGUAAUAUAUGAAAAUUACUAGUUAACUAAGCUUGUAGAAGUUUGUGUGGCGAUAUUUUUGGACAGGAGUUCAAUUCUCCUCAGCUCCACCA